RNAcentral lists this long non-coding RNA (5744 nucleotides) under Salvia miltiorrhiza (redroot sage). RNAcentral describes it as "long non-coding RNA (SMIL_LNC007784)". The record is from RNAcentral. Lineage: Eukaryota; Viridiplantae; Streptophyta; Magnoliopsida; Lamiales; Lamiaceae.
UCCUCUUAAAACUAAAACGGCAGUGAAUGUAAAAUCUCCCCCUUAAAAAUUUGAGUCAACUAAGUUUAACAUACAAAUUAAGUCCGAAUAUAAUUAUUUUGCAUACAUAAAAAUAUUUGGCAUCGAGAAGCUCAUUUGUAGGCCAUUCUAUCAAACUUCAAACACAUACAGCCGUAUGCUAUUAUUGGGAGUUUUUCCAUUAAAAGUUGGAGCCCUGCCCUGCCCCCCUCGGCAAUGGAUGCAUGAAAAUUUCCUCAAGAAGCACUGAAAGUACAACCAACUAUUUGGAAAUGACGAUUAGAGUAAUUGGUAAGGACUAAAUGGUUUCUACUUAACUCCUUCAAGCUAUCUUAUAUACCCCUGCAAGCAGAAAAACGACAUGUGAGUUUAGGAACCAAAUUUUUCUAGGAUGAGAACACACUGAAUUUCAACAAGACAGAAUAUGACGCUGAAGUAAAGAAACAGACGGAGCAAAGUUGAAAAUAUAAGCAUUACAGAAGUCGAUGAAGUAUUCUAAUGUUAACAACUACAAUUGACAAUACAAUAUGAACAGUUCAAUUUUGCCCUCUUUGUCCAACUCUGUCUACUCUCUGGCUUUCAAACACGAAAAAGAGUAAAGAUCAGUGUUAUAUGAUUCCAAGUUUAGCAACAAGUUCCACUACAUCAUCAACAUGAGCCCCGACUCCAUUCAUCAGAAGUAACAUUUGAAUAAUCUUAGUCUUCGUACUCCCACCCUUUACAGUUUCAAUGAGGAAAAGACAUCUAUCAAAAUAACUAAUCUUCCACAAAAAAAAAAGUAUCAUUUGCUUCAAAAUGUUCUCAUUUUGCUGAUUUACAAAGGCAUAGCCUCCUUUAGUCCAGCCAAUUAGGAAGUUCAACAUUCAGCACAUUUAGACAUGUAUGAUCAAACAAUAGUAGAAAAAAGAAAGGACUAACCAUACUCUCUCUGUAUCCGAGUGAAGAAAACGUUUUAGUUCAUACACAAGAUAUGAAAAAUAUCUGGAUGACUGUAGCCCCCUAAUUGCUUAACAGAGGAGAAUGUUCAUCAUCCAAUGGUUGUAGGACACUCAUCAUUCACAAAUAAUUUGCUCAGUAUUUGUGUUCAUCCAUAGUGUCCGGUGCCCCUUCUCUAUUACAUGAUCUAAAAGUAAGAUAUGCCCACUUCCUACUUUGAAGCAAAUUCCCUGAAGAUGGGACGGACUUCAAGCAACUCAACAAACUCGAGCCACAUGAUUCCAAUAACAAAUAACUUAAUACAGGGUUCUAUUCAAAACGAAGCAACAGAGCCAAACACAAUCAGACACAUGGAAUCCCUUUAAUACGUGAAACUUUCGUUUUUUAUCCACAGCAACAAAGAUAUCAAUUAACCAUUUCCUCAACAUAUCAUACGCUAACAUUUCAACUCUCAGUAUCAGUCUUAAAGACAGGUCAUUGUACUCAAACGCUAUAAUUUUCUCAUAUAAUUCAAGCUCAAUAAUUUGUAGCACAAAUCGCAAUUCAAUCAAUUUCCCUUCACCUUCAAAUCAAUGCAAAGAACCAAAACACUAACACAAACAUCACCGUACAUCCCAAACAAUCAACAAAAACAUCCAUUUCAUAUAGAUCACAAUUAGUAACCCGCUUGAUACGAGCAACUAUCAAAGAUAAUCCUAUACAUACAUACACAAAAAUAUAUAUAAGUGAAAUAAAUUAAAGCAGCAAACUUCAAACAAACUUUACCUGACUUUCUGAACGAGAAUCAUCUUGAGCUUGCGGGCAAGAUCCUGCGCGCGAAGCCUGCGCUCCAAAUUCUUUUUGGCCAAAACGCGCUUCUCGGAAUUUUUGACGUGGGCAAGCUGUUCCUGCUUUAUCAUUCGCUCGAUGCCGUUGGACUGCAUCUUCCUCUGCAUUAAGGUCAAAGCCUGAUCUAAAUUGCUGUUGUAAACCUUGACUCGGAUGCCCCUGCACUGUUGCAGGUGAGAACUCAUGGAAAAGAAGGAGGUCCGCCGCAUCGCCGCCGCCUGAAUCAUUGUAUCGGUUGGAAUUUGGGAUUUGAUUUGAGGGUUGUUUGGGGAUGUGGGAUUGGGAUAAAAAAGAAACUGGGCCGCAGGGUUUGGGUGGGCCUCUUGUACAAAAAAUGAGUAAGAACAUUGUGGUCGAAUUUUUAGUUUACGUUAAACACCAAUAUUGUUUCUGGUAGUGUUUUAUUCAUAAUUCUUCUUUUCAUAUAAUAGUAUAUCAUAUACAAUAUUGCUAAAAAAUAAGAUUAAUUAUGCUGUAAUAAGAAAAACUAGAAAUUAAUUAAGGAUUCCAAUUUCGCACAUUUUACACAUAUUUGAUUGGGAGAAAGACAUAUGUAACCAAAAGCAUAUAGUUUAAGACUUAUAUAGCCACCACUUUUAAACCAUGACUUUGGGGGUCAAAAUGCUAGUAAAAGACUAUGCUACCCUUACUAAAUAGUGAAUAAAAAUAAAACAAAAUUGAAAUAGAAAAUUUGUUUGACUUUAAGAUUGAAAAUUAAAAAAAAAAAAAACAGAAAACCCAAAUUAAAUAAAGCAACUAACCUUUUUGAAUUCAGUCACUCUCUCUCUCUUCGAUCACGGUUUCGUCUUCUCCCAGAAAGCAAACGGCCAGAAAUCUCCAACUCUCGCCUGCGGCGCGACUUCACACCUCUCGCCUCUUCGUCCUCUCUGCGACCGACGAGCGCGUCGCGACCUUGACCAGCAGGCGAUCCUCCAGCUGCAGUCCUCCGGCGGCGCGACUUCAUCCAGCGCCACCUUCCUCCAGCGACAUCUGUUCCAUCGACGGCGAUGGCAGCUUCUUCUUCUUCUUCUUCACACCUUAAUUUCCCCCUUGGUCUUUCCAAUGCACUUUCCUCUCUCUCUUUCCCUCUCUCUGCUGCGAAUAACACCAUGGCUGAGCGAGAUAUUGCUCCUGCGCCAUCUACAGAAGCAGAGCACGCUGUCGCCGCAGCCGCCGAAAGACCAUCAACGGCUGUGGCAGACGAACAACAAAUUACAGCAGCAAACACAAGUAGAAUACAAUCGGUAAGUUUUGAACAAGAGGUUUAGGUAAUGACCAAAUGAAGAAAUAUUAAUGGUUCUCUCUACAAAUUUGUCAUUUUUGUGGAUAUAGGUUCGCAUUUGGAAUUGGAUGAUGUUUGUCUUUUGGGUGACUAAUGUUAAUGGUGAAAGCUUGAUUUUUUGGUUCAUUCUUGGUGAUUAUUGAAAAGCUUGACUAAUUUUGAUUAAUUUUGGUGAAAGCUUGACUAAUUUUGAUUCAGGAAUAUUCAAUUAAAAUUAAUUUUUUAUAAUAAUUGAAUUAGUAUUAAUUUUAUAUAAAUAUAAAAAUUAAAAAUAUUUUUCCGUGCAAUUCACGGGAUGCAAAUGCUAGUUAUAUGUAAAUUAAGUAAAAUUCAGUAACACGUUAGACAUUACUCACUCAAACGGGACAUCUUUUAGUAAUUGAUAUGCGUAUAAAUGAAAUUAAUUAUUCAAAAUAAAUGUUUAAACAUUAGAGUCGAUUUAAAUGAGUUAAUAGUGUUCAUAUCCAUUACUCACUCAAACAUACUGGGGAUAUAUUACAUGUAAGUUAAGUGUACUAAGAGUAUAUGUUAGUGUACAUGUUAGUGUACGCGUUUAUUUGUUUUCAUUUAUAUUUGGAAGGCCAAAUGCGUUUAUUCCCCACUAGGCCACUACUAGUUUAUCACAAUUCACGACUAGUUGGAAAUGAGAUUCAGUAUACCACAUUUUAUGUCUUACUUUGUGUCUUAUUUUCAAUUUUAUUUAUGAACUAGUUAAGUUUAAUUAUGAACUAGUAUGAUCAUUUAAAAUUUAUAAAAAAAAGGCGUAAUAAAUAAAUAAAUAAUUAUUUCCAUACAUAAACAUAUAUAAAAAAAUUUAAAAAGAGAGAAAAUAAAAUAUGUAACUUUUGAUAUUUUUUCAAAACUUAUUCAUUUUAAAUUAAUUUUUCGUGAUUUUUACACUAUAUUAAAUUUAAAAUGCAUAUUGCAUUUUUUUAAAUCAAAUCAUGUGAUAAUGUUUAUAAAAGAAUUAACAUAUAGAAAAAAUUAAAAAAUAAUGAAAAAAUUGGUGGAAGAAGAGAGAGAAAAAAGAGAGGAAAAUAACAAAUCUUUAUAUAUAUAAAAAGCAAAGUAAAUGUAAUUUAAUUCAAUUUGAAGGACAUAAUUGGAAUUGAGAAAAUAAUUAUAAUAACAAAAAUCUCCUACAAAACUGGCGUUAGUUAUAUACUCCUACAAAAAUGUCGAAAAUUGUUAACUGACAAAUGAGUAUUAGCAAAAAUAAUUUUAAAUGAUUUGUGCCGAAACAAAAAAUUAAAUGAUCGCCUAUUUCAAAAAAUUGUUAACCCUUGAAUUUAACAUAGGAGAUUAAAAAUCCAAAUUUCCGAUGCCCGAAGUCCUUCAAAUCGGGAAAAUAGUAAGAGUUCUACGGUGCACAAUGACAAUGCACAACUACGUACACAGUGAACCGGUGAAUACACAGUCAACCACAAACGGUGCAUGUUUUAGUAAUUCAUAUGCAAUUAAGUGAAAUUAAGUAUGCAAUUUCAAUUAAUAGACAUUAUAUUCAAUAAAAAUGAGUCAAUAGUGUUCAAUUUCAUUACCCCCUCAAACACAUUGGACAUAUAUCGCAUGAGAGUUAAGUACACUAAGAGUACGUGUUAAAGUGCAUAUAAUAUCAUCGUAGUAAUUGAGACGUGUUUGAUUAAAAACAAGUAUUCGAUUUGAUGUGUUAACCCUUUAAUUUAACAUAGGAGAUUAAAAAUCCAAAUUUUCGAUGCCCGAAGUCCUUCAAAUCGGGACAAUAGCAAGAGUUCUACGGUGCACGGUGACAGUGCACAACUACGUGCACAGUUUAACAACUACGUACACAGUUUGCCCCAAACGGGGCAUGUUUUAGUAAUUCCGAUGCAAUUAAGUGAAAUUAAGUAUGCAAUUUCAAUCAAUAGGCAUUAUAUUCAAUAAAAAUGAGUCAAUAGUGUUCAAUUCCAUUACCCCCUCAAACAUAUUGGGCAUAUAUCGCAUGAGAGUUAANUGUAUCGAAUUUUGGUCGUUUAUUCCCAUUUUCCCACCCAAUAUAUAUAUUUGUAUCGAAUUUUGGUCGUUUAUUCCCAUUUUCCCACCCAAUACGUUUACUUUUUGUCACUUUAUUUAUUUGGAAAAUUCUGUUUCACCAUUUAUAGAAUGUACAUUGAUUUGGUAUUCUUCUGUCGCCAUUUUGGAAGAGUAAGAUCUGAUUUCGCCAACUUCUUCUACCGUCAGAUAUUAUUAUUAUUAUUGCAACUUCCAUCUCGUUAAGUUUAUGUUAUUUCGGAUAUUAUUUCAACGAAACGGUUUGUCACAAAUCCUCUUAAAACUAAAACGGCGGUGAAUGUAAAAUCUCCCCCUUAAAAAUUUGAGUCAAACUAUGUUUAAACAUACAAAUUAAGUCCGAAUAAUUAUUUUGCAUACAUAAAAAUAUUUGGCAUCGAGAAGCUCAUUUGUAGGUCAUUCUAUCAAAUUUCAAACACAUACAGCCGUAUGCUAUUAUUGGGAGUUUUUCCAUUAAAAGUUGGAGCCCUGCCCUGCCCCCCUUGGCAAUGGAUGCAUGGAAAUUUCCUCAAGAAGCACUGAAAAUACAACCAACUAUAUUUGGAAAUGACGAUUAGAGUAAUUGGCAAGGACUAAAUGGUUUCUACUUAACUCCUUCAAGCUAUCUUAUAUACCCCUGCAAGCAGAAAAACGACAUGUCAGUUUAGGAACCAAA